This 68-nucleotide transfer RNA is filed under the name Marmota monax (woodchuck). RNAcentral describes it as "tRNA.Ser". The record is from RNAcentral. Lineage: Eukaryota; Metazoa; Chordata; Mammalia; Rodentia; Sciuridae.
GUUAUAGCUCAAUGGUAGAGCAUUUGCCUGGAAUGUACAAGGCCCUUGGCUCAAUCCCCAGAAUGACG